CGUACACUCAGAAACAAAAAGGCACAAUAUACUGAAAAGCAACUGGCAGAAAUUGAGGAGUCAAUAAAUACAAAUCAAUUUUGGGACCGAUGGAAAAAUCUGAAAAAAACACAACAAGAAGAAUUAGCGAUACAAGAUGGGGAUAUUUGGACAAACCAUUUUCAAACACUUUUUAAAAAAGUGGAAUUAGGAGCAAAUCCUGACAAAAACCAUAUAAAUAAAAAAUUGCAGGAACUUGAAUUGGCUAUUAAAGAUAAUCAAAAUCCAUUGGACUUCUCGAUUACUGAACAAGAGCUUAAAGAUAAAAUUAAAAAAUUGAAACCUAAAAAAGCAUCUGGACCUGACAGUAUUUUAAAUGAGAUGCUAAAAUGCACAAGCACAAAAUUUCAACUGGCCAUCCUAAAAUUAUUCAAUUUGGUUCUGAGUGUAGGUUACUUCCCUGACAUCUGGAACCAUGGGCUUAUAACACCAAUAUUCAAAAAUGGAGAUAAAUUUGACCCAAACAAUUACCGAGGCAUCUGUGUGAACACUGUAAUCGAACCAAUUGCUCUUUAUGGCAGUGAAGUGUGGGGUCCACUCAUCAGUCAAGAAUUUGGCAAAUGGGACAAA
This is a long non-coding RNA of Anguilla rostrata (American eel), 609 nucleotides long. RefSeq lists it as uncharacterized. The record is from RefSeq and is a predicted model, not a curated record. The transcript has 2 exons. Lineage: Eukaryota; Metazoa; Chordata; Actinopteri; Anguilliformes; Anguillidae.